ACUUCUGGCACAGACAUCUGAGGGCAUGGCCGUCCAAGAAGAAAAUGUAGCCAUUGGUGCCAUCUAUCGACCACAGGUUAAAGAUUGGCGAUCCGUUUGAUACCAACAGAGUUAUAGCCAAAACUUGGUGCAAAAAUGAGGAAAAUUUUACAUUUUCUCAAACAGGGUAUGGAACUUGGUUCCUCGAAUAACUUCUGACACAGACAUCUGAGGGCAUGGCCGUCCAAGAAGAAAAUGUAGCCAUUGAUGCCAUCUAUCGACCACAGGUUAAAGAUUGGCGAUCCGUUAGAUACCAACAGAGUUAUAGGCAAAACUUGGUGCAAAAAUGAGGAAAAUUUUACAUUUUCUCAAACAGGGUAUGGAACUUGGUUCCUCGAAUAACUUCUGGCACAGACAUCUGAGGGCAUAGCCGUCCAAGAAGAAAAUGUAGCCCUUGAUGCCAUCUAUCGACUACAGGUUAAAGAUUGGCGAUCCGUUGGAUAACGACCGAAUUAUAGCCAAAACUUGGUGCAAAAAUGAGCCUUAUGAAAUUUUCAAAUGUUUAGAAUUUUUUUAAUUUUCUUAAAUUUUUUAUUCUUUAUUUUAUUUAAAACAUUAUUUGAGUGAAAAGAAACUUAUUUCAACCGAUUGGCAUUAAAAUAAAUCAAUUUAAUUUUUUUUGCAAAAUUUCUCAAAAAAAUGGCAAGGGGUACCCCUUGUGAAAUUUUCGAGUUGAAAUUUUAAAAAAAUUUUUCUUUUGAUUUUUUAUUCUUUUUUGUGUUUAAAGCAUUAUUUAAGUGAAAAGAAACUUAUUGCAACAAAUUCGCAUUAAAAUAUAUCAUAUUUAUAAAUUUUGCUAAAUUGCUGAAAAAUGAGGAAAAUUUUACAUUUUCUCAAACAGGGUAUGGAACUUGGUUCCUCGAAUAACUUCUGGCACAGACAUCUGAGGGCAUGGCCGUCCAAGAAGAAAAUGUAGCCAUUGGUGCCAUCUAUCGACCACAGGUUAAAGAUUGGCGAUCCGUUAGAUACCAACAGAGUUAUAGCCAAAACUUGGUGCAAAAAUGAGGAAAAUUUUACAUUUUCUCAAACAGGGUAUGGAACUUGGUUCCUCGAAUAACUUCUGGCACAGACAUCUGAGGGCAUGGCCGUCCAAGAAGAAAAUGUAGCCGUUGAUGCCAUCUAUCGACCACAGGCUAAAGAUUGGCGAUCCGUUGGAUACCGACCGAGAUAUAGGCAAAACUUGGUGCAAAAAUGAGCCUUAUGAAAUUUUCAAAUGUUUAGAAUUUUUUAAUUUUCUUAAAUUUUUUAUUCUUUUUUUUAUUAAAAACAUUAUUUGAGUGAAAAGAAACUUAUUUCAACCGAUUGGCAUUAAAAUAAAUCAAUUUAAUUUUUUUUGCAAAAUUUCUCAAAAAAAUGGCAAGGGGUACCCCUUGUGAAAUUUUCGAGUUGAAAUUAAAAAAAAAAAAUUUUUUUGUUUUUUUAUUCUUUUUUGUGUUUAAAGCAUUAUUUAAGUGAAAAGAAACUUAUUGCAACAAAUUCGCAUUAAAAUAUAUCAUAUUUAUAAAUUUUGCUAAAUUGCUGAAAAAUGAGGAAAAUUUUACAUUUUCUCAAACAGGGUAUGGAACUUGGUUCCUCGA
This is a long non-coding RNA of Anopheles funestus (African malaria mosquito), 1616 nucleotides long. RefSeq lists it as uncharacterized. The transcript has 3 exons. NCBI's taxonomy places the organism in Eukaryota, Metazoa, Arthropoda, Insecta, Diptera, Culicidae. The record is from RefSeq and is a predicted model, not a curated record.